This 75-nucleotide transfer RNA is filed under the name Strongylocentrotus purpuratus (purple sea urchin). It matches the Rfam family "tRNA". Rfam says of the family: Transfer RNA (tRNA) molecules are approximately 80 nucleotides in length. Their secondary structure includes four short double-helical elements and three loops (D, anti-codon, and T loops). Lineage: Eukaryota; Metazoa; Echinodermata; Echinoidea; Camarodonta; Strongylocentrotidae. The record is from Rfam by way of RNAcentral.
GGUGUCGUGGUCGAGUGGAUAUGUCACUGGGCUGUGGAUCAUAAGAUCCGGGGUUCAAGUUUCCCCGCGGCACUA